This 505-nucleotide ribosomal RNA is filed under the name Thelcticopis severa. RNAcentral describes it as "partial 16S ribosomal RNA". It matches the Rfam family "Bacterial large subunit ribosomal RNA", at positions 1796 to 2645 of the family's 2925-position model. The record is from RNAcentral. Lineage: Eukaryota; Metazoa; Arthropoda; Arachnida; Araneae; Sparassidae.
UCGACUGUUUAUCAAAAACAUUUUUAAUAGAUAUAUAAUUAUUAUAAAAUCUGCUCAAUGAUAUUUAAAUAGCCGCAGUUUUCUGUGCUAAGGUAGCAUAAUCAUUUGUCUUUUAAUUAAAGACUAGAAUGAAUGAUUUAACAUUUAAUUUCAUUUUUAAAAUUUUUAAAAAUAAAAUUUACUUUAACGUAAAAAGGCGUUAAUAAAUAAAAAAGACGACAAGACCCUAUCGAACUUUACUUUAGUUUAACUGGGGAAGUUUAUAAAUUACAAUUUUACAUUAAAUAAUAAUUAGACCUAUUAUAAAUAAUAUAAUGAUCAAGUUACCGUAGGGAUAACAGCGUAAUAUAUUUUCAUAGCUCUUAUAAAAAAAUAAGAUUACGACCUCGAUGUUGAAUUAAUUAAUCUAAUUAGUGCAAGAACCUAAUAAGAAAGUCUGUUCGACUUUUAAUAAAUUACAUGAUUUGAGUUCAGACCGGUGUAAGCCAGGUCGGUUUCUAUCUUA